UACGUAGGGUGCAAGCGUUGUCCGGAAUUAUUGGGCGUAAAGAGCUCGUAGGCGGUCUGUCGCGUCGGCUGUGAAAACUCGGGGCUCAACCCCGAGCCUGCAGUCGAUACGGGCAGACUAGAGUGCGGUAGGGGAGACUGGAAUUCCUGGUGUAGCGGUGAAAUGCGCAGAUAUCAGGAGGAACACCGGUGGCGAAGGCGGGUCCCUGGGCCGAAACUGACGCUGAGGAGCGAAAGCGUGGGGAGCAAACAGG
This 253-nucleotide ribosomal RNA is filed under the name uncultured bacterium. RNAcentral's name for it is "partial 16S ribosomal RNA". It matches the Rfam family "Bacterial small subunit ribosomal RNA", at positions 524 to 776 of the family's 1533-position model. The record is from RNAcentral.